Molecule: ribosomal RNA, 792 nt
Filed under: uncultured bacterium
Lineage: Bacteria
Description: bacterial SSU rRNA
Rfam family: Bacterial small subunit ribosomal RNA
Source: RNAcentral
AGAGUUUGAUCAUGGCUCAGGACGAACGCUGGCGGCGUGCCUAAUACAUGCAAGUCGAACGCUGAUUGUUUAACCGAUGCUUGCAUCAACCAAACAAUCGGAGUGGCGAACGGGUGAGUAACACGUGGGUAACCUGCCUAUCAGAGGGGGAUAACACUUGGAAACAGGUGCUAAUACCGCAUAAGAGCGAUAACCGCAUGGUUAUUGUUUAAAAGGCGCUUAUGGUGUCACUGAUAGAUGGACCCGCGGUGCAUUAGCUAGUCGGUGGGGUAAAGGCCUACCGAGGCGAUGAUGCAUAGCCGACCUGAGAGGGUGAUCGGCCACAUUGGGACUGAGACACGGCCCAAACUCCUACGGGAGGCAGCAGUGGGGAAUAUUGCACAAUGGGGGGAACCCUGAUGCAGCAACGCCGCGUGAAGGAAGAAGUAUUUCGGUAUGUAAACUUCUAUCGACAGGGAAGAAGAGAAUGACGGUACCUGAAUAAGAAGCACCGGCUAAAUACGUGCCAGCAGCCGCGGUAAUGCGUAUGGUGCAAGCGUUAUCCGGAUUUACUGGGUGUAAAGGGUGAGUAGGCGGUUAUGCAAGUCAUAUGUGAAAUUCUGGAGCUCAACUCCAGCGCUGCAUAAGAAACUGUGUAACUAGAGUACAGGAGAGGUAGGCGGAAUUCCUAGUGUAGCGGUGAAAUGCGUAGAUAUUAGGAAGAACACCGGUGGCGAAGGCGGCUUACUGGACUGAAACUGACGCUGAGUCACGAAAGCGUGGGGAGCGAACAGGAUUAGAUACCCUGGUAGU